CCUACGGGAGGCAGCAGUGGGGAAUAUUGGACAAUGGGCGAAAGCCUGAUCCAGCCAUGCCGCGUGUGUGAAGAAGGUCUUCGGAUUGUAAAGCACUUUAAGUUGGGAGGAAGGGCAGUAAGUUAAUACCUUGCUGUUUUGACGUUACCGACAGAAUAAACACCGGCUAACUCUGUGCCAGCAGCCGCGGUAAU
This 194-nucleotide ribosomal RNA is filed under the name uncultured bacterium. Its description in RNAcentral is "partial 16S ribosomal RNA". It matches the Rfam family "Bacterial small subunit ribosomal RNA", at positions 338 to 524 of the family's 1533-position model. The record is from RNAcentral.